This 839-nucleotide long non-coding RNA is filed under the name Gallus gallus (chicken). The record is from RNAcentral. Lineage: Eukaryota; Metazoa; Chordata; Aves; Galliformes; Phasianidae.
CACCUGGUCGUUGAGCCAAUUGGGGCCAUAGAGGGUCUGCAGGUCGUCCAUGGUCAACACGUGCCGUUUGUAGCUGACCCGGAAGCCCCGCAGCAGCGCAUUGCCGGGCAGCCGCUGGUAGGACUGCAUCAGCUGCUGCACAGAGCCUCUCCUCUGCGGGGUGCUGAACUCCUGCUGGAAGAUGUCCUCCAGCUUCUCCACCACUUCGUCGGCGCUGACGGGGAUGAGGCUCCCGUAGGACUGCAGGAACUCGUCCAGGAUGCCUGCGGGGCGUUCAUGAACGGGGCGGCUCAUUAAUUAGCUCCUUAAUUAGCUCCCUGAGCAGCUCACAGCAGGGCAGCGAUCCCUCCGGUCUCCCCAUUAAUGGGAAUCCGUUCCUCCAUCCCCGGUUAAUCAACGCUGGGGGGGGUCGGAGAGGGCCUUUGGGGGGGGGGGGGGGGCGUUAAUUAGCAGCCGCCGUUAAUUAGUUCGUUAAUUAGCUCAUUGAUUACAUAACAGCAGGGCAGCCCUAUUAAUGGCUCCAAUGUGAAUCCAUUUUGCCAUCUUUAAUUAAUCAACGCCGGGGGGGUUGGAGAGCCGGAGGGGGGGGCGGCAUUAAUUAAAGGUCAUCAUUUAUUAACUUAUUAAGUAAUUCAUUAAUUAGCAGCCAGGCAGAGUUAGCUCUGACCCCCCUAUUAAUGGCUCCAACGUGAAUCCAUUUCUGCGUCUUUAAUUAAUCAACGCUGGUGGUGUCAAAGACCCCUUCGGGGAGGGGGGGGGGCAUUAAUUACCAUUAAUUAACUCGUUAAUUAAUACCACAGAGAUGCUCACUGUGACCCCCUAUUAACAUCCCAAACCUG